This 3338-nucleotide long non-coding RNA is filed under the name Sorghum bicolor (sorghum). Its description in RNAcentral is "long non-coding RNA (SBIC_LNC001386)". The record is from RNAcentral. Lineage: Eukaryota; Viridiplantae; Streptophyta; Magnoliopsida; Poales; Poaceae.
CUUUUUCUGAUUCUCCUAGACGACAGAUUGCCAUUCACGCAAUAGAAGUGGCAGGGGUUAGCUUGGACCGAUGAGGAAAACAAUAGGAUCCAAUGUAAGUUUUCAGUUUCAUCAUGUGCUAAAAUGAUUUACAUUUCUAGGAUCUUGUGUGGUGCUGAUGGUGGCACAUGUGCUUCUGCAGAUCUGCUGAAGGAGAUAGAUGACUUCCUGGUCCUCGGCAUCACACCUUCAGUGGACACCGAGGUGAGUCAGGUGAGAGAUGGAUGGCCUAUUUAGUAUUAUGUGUUACAUUUGUUGGAUUUUAUGCUGCUACUGUAAUUCAAGAUGUCUGGCAUGGCACAAUUGCAAACUAAGAAGUAUGGUGUGUCAUAUUGGCAUCUGUCAGCUUCUUGUUUCUUAUAGACUACAUACGUGCCCAUGUAUUGCAACGUCAAAAGUUUUCAUGAUGUUUGAUGAACUGUUUGAAGAGGCUAGAAGAAAGAUAAAUCAUGUGAAAUACUUCUGAAGAAACUAUGCUUCAUCAUUGAAUCAGCACAGUGCAGCAGGAUGGCCAGUGAAGAGGGUGGUCUGAAGAUGUCCAAAGAUGCUUGCUAAACAUGCCUUUUCAAAAUAUAAAAUACCUCAAACAAAGAUCAUCCAUCUCAUAUAAUAUAAUGUGUGAGCUAAUUACUUGUGAAUAAAACUAUGCUUGAUAAUUGAAUCAGUAAAGUGCAGUAGCACACUAAAAGAAUGUAUGCUUUUCUAAAAAUCUUUCAUGCUCAUUGAAAACAUAUGUUAAUUGUUUAUUAGUAGUAGAGAAUCAGAAAUUUUAAAAUAUGGUGACAACUUCAUACAGUCUUGUGUUGUGUCCGAGAGGCAGGCAGCUACAGCAGGAGCAUGGGGACGAGGACAUUCUACUGGAGUACAUGAGACAUGGAAAGCUGCUUUGGUAAGUAGUUUCAGCAAUGUACAUACUACAUAUUUAAGGUCUUCUAAGUCUCAAGCUUACAUACUCCCUCAAUGUAAUUAAAAUUUGUUCAUUUGUUUGGUAACUUAACUUUAUGUUUUCAGUUACACUUACUAAUCAUGAGAUUUGCCUUGCAUAUGGCAUCUUCAGAACAAUCUGAGGAUCACACGCCACAAAGAUCUGACCAACACCACUAGCCUAUGCAAACUUGAUAAACUACUGUUUACGUCUACUUUAUUUUCAUGGAUGUCAUUCGACCUUAAAAAUGCUGGCCUCAAUUUCUUCAGAACUUUUGUAGGUUCUCCGUUCCGACUUGAUGAUUUUUACCUUCUUAAGAAGCUUCUUAGUUUUUUUAGAAAUAAUUCUGGCCUCUGCGACCGCAUACAGCCAAGUAUUAUAAUGUUCUUAGCUUAUUUGCUGCCAAAGAUAAAGAGAAAUAGUGUACUCAAAUAGGAGAAAAUCAUCAGCAAAGAAGCUACUUAGUUGCUUGCAAGAGUUUGAAUUCUUGUCUUUUUUGACAAGUUUUUGACGAGCUUAAAGCAAAAAAUGACAUGGAUUCAGAUUACCAUGGUUUAGUCUUGCAAUUUUCUGCUUCUUGUGUCACAUCUUUUUGAUGUGAUUUGGCGUGGUGGAUUUCCUCGGCUGGUUUGGCCAAGGUUUAUUCUUACUGCAAAAGCCAUGAGACUGUCUUUCUCCAGGUUGUAAGUUUCUUAAGUAUCAUACUUAAACAAAAGUUACUAUGUGGACUUAAUAAACAGGUUUGUCGGUCCGAAAAGACAAGUUUGUCAUUGGCACAACCCUUUACCAAUCAUGUGUUUAUUUCCGUAUAACUUGGAUGGCUUCGUCAAUUGAACGCAUCUGCUAUGUCAGCCUCUGUUUCCCUUCUAGAGGACGAGGUGAUGGUUCUUCUCAUUUACAGUUAAUGUAUUUUACCUGUUUAUAGAUUCCUAUAAAAAUACUUUUGCACCUUCCUAUUUGUUUAGGUUUUAAGAUUAAAAAUUGGCAUAGAAACUUAGACACCUGCAGACCAUGGAAACCGUGUUUUUAAUCUCUGUGUUUUUGUUCUCAACAACAGCUAAUGUUUGCAUAAUUCAUAUGCUUCUAAGUAGUCUGUUGUGGCCAUUGCCCAUAGGAGCAGAGGUGGCAUCGGCGCCAUGACCCUUGCCUGAAACUUUUAAGUUUGUAAAUUUUUGGCCAUGUAAAUCUGAGUAUAUAUGAACUUCUACUUUUUGUUUGAACUGAUAGUACUGUCUGGGUUUAUAAGUGGUACACUAUGUUUUUUGGAAAUCGAAGGUUGAUUUUUAUAAAUUACAUUGUUCAGUCCCAUGAAACUUUUACUCUCCUAUGGUGCUUGCCAUUUUGCAGUGGAACACUAAAUGUUGUUGACAUGCUCACCCAUCAGGGCCUCACUCCCUGAUUCAAUUAGACAAGACAUAGAGCACCCACAACUCAUUGUUUUUCUUUUUGUUAUUUUGAUGGGAUUUCUUUAGCUAUUUGUGUUUAGGUUUUUAUACGGCACUGUUACUUGUCAUCAACAAAACCUGAAUUGUAGGCGGUAUCGUUUCCGGUCUAGCAAGAGCCCAUAAACAUCAUGAUAAUUUUAAUAUGACAGGGUUUCUUAGGAGCAACAUUAAAUGAUUUUUGCUGUCAUCAGAGCAAACUAAGUUAGUGAUCUUUGGUCCACACGCUGAUUCCAUGUAAUUCGAAUAACAACUUCUGGCCCAAAGACAUCAUCAGAGGCAUCGGGAUCAAAGUUGCUCGCUCUCCCGGUGCGCUUUUGCUUGCUAUGUCUGUUAGAUGGCUUUGCAUUUGGAGCUAAACUCCAGUUAUCAUUUAGCUCAUUUCUAAAGCAAACCUCACGCAACUCAUUUAGAACCAAUGUUAAACUUUGGUUAAAAUUUGUAUUUGGACCAUUAUAAGUUAUCUAUAUGAUGCAUGUUGCAGUAAGAGGAUGCAGCACCUUAGGAUGGGAAGAGCCAUUGAGACGCAUGUGCCUGCUGAUGCUGAUGGUCGUCAGUCGUCACCCCGGGGCAAGUUGGAUUUCAACUGUGAGCUGCUACUGUGCAGCAAUGAGGGGAGGCAGCAGUUGUAGCAGUUGGUACCCAUAGAUGCUUAACAAAAUGGCAAUCAUUCAUAUCAAUAUUUGUCUAUUUUGAUUGAUAGGUUUGCAUUAAUGACUAAAAGAAAUAGUAUUUGUACUUUCCGUGAAUAUUUACGUUUUUAUCCGAACUAAGUAUUAUAAUUGUACAACUGAAGGAUAAUGAUACUGGCCUCAAUACUUUAACACAUGGCCGGUUGAAGCUGCAGUACCCCUCAGGCAACACGUGAAAUACUUUUAAACAUGCUGCAUUGAUCAUGGAUUUUGAACUUAAGGUCAAACUUGACAUUGUUG